AGCUCUGUUGCAUAAAGCGGAUUGAGUGGAUGAAGUCGCGGCUUGUCCCGUCAGCAGAACUCCUCUUCGUUACCUGUAGCAUGUUUACAUUAAAUUCAUGUACAUACAUUCAAUUGUUUAACUUAAAAAGACUAGGUAUUAUUCAUGGUAUUCGAAGACACCUUUACAUGACAUAGGUCACCAUGUUUUCGUUUAUUUCAAAGCUAAAAGAGCGCGUCGAUACUUUUCUGAACCAGAAGAACUUUGUAACCGAUUUCCUCAACAAAAUCGAAGAAAAGACUGGACUUAAGAAGCGUUUACUUGUAAUAGGAGCUGCCUCUGCAACAGGACUUUAUUUAUUGGUUGGAUAUGGAGCCUCCCUGAUCUGCAACUUGAUUGGCUUUGUUUAUCCUGCAUACUAUUCCAUCAAGGCUAUUGAGAGUCCAAACAAAGACGAUGACACACAGUGGCUAACUUACUGGGUGGUGUAUGGAUUCUUUGGCGUGGGGGAAUUCUUCUCAGACAUCUUCCUCUCCUGGUUUCCUUUCUACUAUUUGUGCAAAUGCCUGUUCUUGUUAUGGUGCAUGGCUCCAGUACCCUGGAAUGGCUCUCAGCUGUUGUAUAAGCGUCUGGUGCGACCACUCUUCCUCAAACACGAGGCCACUCUGGACAACAUGGUUUGCAAUCUGAGCGGGAAGGCUAUAACAGCUGCAGAAACUGUUACGAGAGAGGCAUCACCUGUUUUUGUCAGGGUCACAAACGACUGGCUCAAGGAUCCGUUCACUUUAAACUCCUCCUUUCAGAGAGCCUACUCUGCUCUGAUUGGUCAGAUGUCCCAGUCUGUUGUGAUUGGUCUACUGCUUACGGCGUGUGUCGGAAAGGAAACGCCCACUACCAUAUCUAAAUUUCAGCUCAGUAAUAAUGUCGUCAGUUUUACCUUAUCGAUUUGAGCCCGAGUCCGAUAGCGAUACAUCUGAAGAUCAACCCGAACCACAAUCGCAAGCAGGACGAGAACAGGACGUUUGUCAGUGUUCUUCAGACUCUGGUGAGAAACAGGAUUCACCCAGCUGAGCCAGCUGCCAAAGAGCUUCCUGGUCCAUCUAAUGAACCUAAGGUAGACUGAACUUCACACAGGGUUCCACUUCCAAAGUCACAGGACAGCAAGGAAUGAAAUCACCUGGACAUCAGUAGACAAUGGUAUAAUGAGCCUGUGCAGUUUACUUGAAGUAUGUUAUCUAAUACCAGUUAAGUGUAAGGGUCCACUCACUGGUCCAACGACGGUAUCCAAUGACGUGGUAGAAGGAUUCCCACGUGUUCCUGUCUUUUUGAAGCGAUGUGAAUAUAUUUAAAUUUGUCAUUCCAAUUCUGCUUGACUCUCUCUUAAAUUAAAUCUGACUCCAAUUGUAAAAACCUCGAUGUUGUAUUUAUUUCUUAGUUAUUCAUAUUUUGAUACGUUUGAUCUUCUCUACUUGAUUAAUUCAAAUUUAUUCUAUACUUUAAGUUGUGCUCGUUCAUUCGGAUUCCGUGUUGAGUCACACGCCGGUCGUGUACACGGAUCUCAUGGUCACAAACUCGCCAGUCUUGGUCAUUAGCCAGGUAAUUGACUAAUACUAUUUAGACGACCGCCCCAUGCUUACCUUUUCCUAAAUAGUACUUUAUUACUCUUAGAUAUUAACACUUAGUUAUAGUAACGUUAUCUCUAGACAGAGGUCAUGACCACUAAAAUCUACAGAGACAGACCAAUAAUAUCUAAGUAAAAUUAGCUUUAUAUAAACAUGCCAUAGUUUCCUAUGUACACGUUAACUAGAGUAAGAUUACAAUAACCAGAGGUUUAGACUUCCCCUUAUUUAGACUUGGUCGAUCAACUUUAUGUUGUCCUAAACGGGUAUUUCUUAUCGAGCCUGUACACACUAAGUACACUUAACUAGAGCCAUGUCAUUAGUCUGGCCUCUUAGUUCCCUUAGUUAGUAACACUUAAUUACAAUAAUGUUAUUUCUAGCCAGAGGUCAUGACCACUAAAUCUACAAAGAUAGACCAAUAAUAUCUG
Molecule: RNA transcript, 2026 nt
Organism: Ictalurus furcatus (blue catfish)
Lineage: Eukaryota; Metazoa; Chordata; Actinopteri; Siluriformes; Ictaluridae
Gene: reep6
Gene name: receptor accessory protein 6
Exons: 8
Source: RefSeq, a predicted model, not a curated record